RNAcentral lists this ribosomal RNA (497 nucleotides) under uncultured bacterium. RNAcentral's name for it is "partial 16S ribosomal RNA". It matches the Rfam family "Bacterial small subunit ribosomal RNA", at positions 28 to 507 of the family's 1533-position model. The record is from RNAcentral.
GAUGAACGCUGGCGGCGUGCCUAAUACAUGCAAGUCGAGCGAACGGACGAGAAGCUUGCUUCUCUGAUGUUAGCGGCGGACGGGUGAGUAACACGUGGAUAACCUACCUAUAAGACUGGGAUAACUUCGGGAAACCGGAGCUAAUACCGGAUAAUAUUUUGAACCGCAUGGUUCAAAAGUGAAAGACGGUCUUGCUGUCACUUAUAGAUGGAUCCGCGCUGCAUUAGCUAGUUGGUAAGGUAACGGCUUACCAAGGCAACGAUGCAUAGCCGACCUGAGAGGGUGAUCGGCCACACUGGAACUGAGACACGGUCCAGACUCCUACGGGAGGCAGCAGUAGGGAAGCUUCCGCAAAGGGCGAAAGCCUGACGGAGCAACGCCGCGUGAGUGAUGAAGGUCUUCGGAUCGUAAAACUCUGUUAUUAGGGAAGAACAUAUGUGUAAGUAACUGUGCACAUCUUGACGGUACCUAAACAGAAAGCCACGGCUAACUACGUG